This 467-nucleotide ribosomal RNA is filed under the name uncultured bacterium. Its description in RNAcentral is "partial 16S ribosomal RNA". It matches the Rfam family "Bacterial small subunit ribosomal RNA", at positions 28 to 506 of the family's 1533-position model. The record is from RNAcentral.
GACGAACGCUGGCGGCGUGCUUAACACAUGCAAGUCGAACGGAAAGGCCCUGCUUUUGUGGGGUGCUCGAGUGGCGAACGGGUGAGUAACACGUGAGUAACCUGCCCUUGACUUUGGGAUAACUUCAGGAAACUGGGGCUAAUACCGGAUAGGAGCUCCUGCUGCAUGGUGGGGGUUGGAAAGUUUCGGCGGUUGGGGAUGGACUCGCGGCUUAUCAGCUUGUUGGUGGGGUAGUGGCUUACCAAGGCUUUGACGGGUAGCCGGCCUGAGAGGGUGACCGGCCACAUGGGGACUGGGAUACGGCCCAGACUCCUACGGGAGGCAGCAGUGGGGAAUAUGGCACAAUGGGCGGAAGCCUGAUGCAGCAACGCCGCGGGCGGGAUGACGGCCUUCGGGUUGUAAACCGCUUUCGCCUGUGACGAAGCGUGAGUGACGGUAAUGGGUAAAGAAGCACCGGCUAACUACGU